UUAAACCUCUUCAGGCCAGUGAGUAAGUGCCACUUCAUCACUGCAGCACUGUUUCUUUCCUCUUUUUCCAUUUUACUUCCAGAACAGCUUUUUACUCUUUAACUGUUGGCACUCAGUGCAUUUGAAACCCUCAGUCUGAUACUGUAAAAAUCACUAGUCCUCAUCCAAGAGGUACUGUUAAAUGUGCUGUUUGAGCCAUCAUGGAUUUGCUUCAAUUGUGUUACUUCUGUCUUAUAAAACUAUUCAUCAUCAGUGAAGUGACCUAGAAAUGCUGGACAAUUUGAUGUAGAAUUCACCUUCCCCAACUUUCUUGAAUUUGUUUUGAGUUAGUUUUCUAGUCUGCUUGUGUAAGUGUAUUUUGCUCAACAGUAGUUGUCAAUGACACUGCUUUUAAACAGGCUUCUUCAAAACAUUCUUGAAGCAUGAAACUAAUAGCUUCUCUUUAGGUAUUCCUUCUAGAACAGAACUCUUAUAUUUUACUAUUUUAUUUUUUUAAGCUUGCCGAUACAAAGAAAGGCACACCUUAGUCCCUUGUCGUGCAGGAGGGAACAUUAAUGCAACAAAGUGCUUGGAAAAUAGAUGUUGUCCUUCCAAAGGCAGGCAUCAACUGGAAUGUUAUGUCCCAUUUAAAGACAAUCUGCAGCUGGCACUUCGACUGUUUCUGGUUGGGGCACUUGGAUGUAUAAUUUUGGGUUGUGUACCAUUAUUUUGCUGUGCCUGGCUUCAGAAGAGAGGACCAUCCAUGUCAUAUUAAUGAGGAUGGAGGAGAAAGACACCAGGAUUAUGCACUAACUAUGAGUAUGCUCUAGGAAAUGAUUUCUUUUAGCAUCACAGUAAUAUAGUGUUGCCAACCCUUGAUGAUGCUAUUGAUUUUUGCAUUAGAAGUUGUUCAUUUCUGUUUCUUUGUACUCACUCCAUAUCUCCUUUAUGAAAAAAAAGAUGGUAAUGCUGAAAGGGAAAAA
This 962-nucleotide long non-coding RNA is filed under the name Coturnix japonica (Japanese quail). Its description in RNAcentral is "lncRNA (ENSCJPG00005000315.1)". Lineage: Eukaryota; Metazoa; Chordata; Aves; Galliformes; Phasianidae. The record is from RNAcentral.